UUUGAAACAUUAGAGAAAAAACCACAAAAAACCCUAAACCACAAAAAACCCUAAAAACCUAACUCUUUCUGCCUACUCACCCAAGCAGCCGCCGUUCCCCGGGGUCCUUGGCUUUUGCUCUCCCAGAACCAGAGAGCCAAGGACCCCUCGCCAUUUGAAAUCAGCCCUUCUCCCCCUUUGGCCGCUCAUCCUUUGGAAACCAGAGCUCCCCUUCUCCUCUCACGGCCCCCAAAAACAUUUUGUCCUUCUCACAGCCGACCCCAACAGCCCCAUCGCCGGCCUCCCCCGACUAUCCCCUACAGACCCGAACCAGAACCUCCACAUCCACCGACAGUACCACCCCCCGGUUCUCUCUUCGCCCUCACAAAGCAGCCUCCCUUUUCCCUCUCCAUCGCCUUCCCCUUUCAGUUCCUUUUCUCAGCCGACCCAUCGGUUUUCCCAAACCAGAGAGCCUUCACGCUCCCCUUCGACAUCAGCGCCGUCCACAAACCGGCCACCAGCAACAGCCCUUCUCCAGCAUUUCUUUCCCACAGCAGCUGACCACCACACCGACACCCACCGAUCUGUCCAUUCCUCCGCCUCAACACCGCCAGCAACCUCUCACAUUCUCGCAGCAGCUCCAGCGGCCACAGGCUGCAGCAGCAAAGCCAAUUAAAGCCGACGAUCAGACCACUUCGUUCUCCUCCAUCUCCACCGAACCGGACACCAGCAGCUGCACAGCCGUCGACCGAAGCACAUCCACACUGCCGGCCGUUUGAAACAGGGAACAAAGGGGAAACGAAAAGAAACUGAGCUGCGAAGAGAGAUGCAGAUCUGCGGAACAAAAGAGAAAAACACAACUAAAAUCAACUGUUGUUGUGCGUUGUUUCCCUUGUUGCAGGUGUCGGUGACCUUCACCGCCGGAGGAGGAAGACAGGGAAGAAGAAGACGUUCUCGAUCCACUGGUUUUCGGUCUUCAUCGGCGGCGGCGCGUGAACCCACGCGCCUCCAGUGGCGGAGGCGCGUGGAGCAACGCGCCACUACUGUUCAGACGACACCAAGGCUGUGCAGCACUGUUCCCGAGGAUUUCUCUGUGUUUUUUGUUGUAACUUUCAGAUGAUGUGUAUAUUUAGAUAUUAUUGUAUUUGAUUUAUUUUGAAUUUUUGUUAUUUGUUUUACAUGUAAAAAUUGUGUAUGUAAAAAACAAAAAAGAAAAGGAAAGGAAAAGAGAAAGAAAAUAUAGUGAAAGUGUAUAGGUGUGUUUGUAUUUGUUUUAUGGAUGUUUUAUUUUUAUUUAAGAUAAAAUUGUAAAGAUUAAAGAAGAAUUUAAUAUUUUGAUUGGAUCACGGUCAAGAAUUAUUAACUUAUACGUAAGUUGUAUUUCUAAUAUCCGAUGAAAAGAC
This 1382-nucleotide long non-coding RNA is filed under the name Populus trichocarpa (black cottonwood). RNAcentral's name for it is "long non-coding RNA (PTRI_LNC002744)". The record is from RNAcentral. Lineage: Eukaryota; Viridiplantae; Streptophyta; Magnoliopsida; Malpighiales; Salicaceae.